ACUAAGCGUACACGGUGGAUGCCCUGGCAGUCAGAGGCGAUGAAGGACGUGCUAAUCUGCGAUAAGCGUCGGUAAGGUGAUAUGAACCGUUAUAACCGGCGAUUUCCGAAUGGGGAAACCCAGUGUGUUUCGACACACUAUCAUUAACUGAAUCCAUAGGUUAAUGAGGCGAACCGGGGGAACUGAAACAUCUAAGUACCCCGAGGAAAAGAAAUCAACCGAGAUUCCCCCAGUAGCGGCGAGCGAACGGGGAGCAGCCCAGAGCCUGAAUCAGUGUGUGUGUUAGUGGAAGCGUCUGGAAAGGCGCGCGAUACAGGGUGACAGCCCCGUACACAAAAAUGCACAUGCUGUGAGCUCGAUGAGUAGGGCGGGACACGUGGUAUCCUGUCUGAAUAUGGGGGGACCAUCCUCCAAGGCUAAAUACUCCUGACUGACCGAUAGUGAACCAGUACCGUGAGGGAAAGGCGAAAAGAACCCCGGCGAGGGGAGUGAAAAAGAACCUGAAACCGUGUACGUACAAGCAGUGGGAGCACGCUUAGGCGUGUGACUGCGUACCUUUUGUAUAAUGGGUCAGCGACUUAUAUUCUGUAGCAAGGUUAACCGAAUAGGGGAGCCGAAGGGAAACCGAGUCUUAACUGGGCGUUAAGUUGCAGGGUAUAGACCCGAAACCCGGUGAUCUAGCCAUGGGCAGGUUGAAGGUUGGGUAACACUAACUGGAGGACCGAACCGACUAAUGUUGAAAAAUUAGCGGAUGACUUGUGGCUGGGGGUGAAAGGCCAAUCAAACCGGGAGAUAGCUGGUUCUCCCCGAAAGCUAUUUAGGUAGCGCCUCGUGAAUUCAUCUCCGGGGGUAGAGCACUGUUUCGGCAAGGGGGUCAUCCCGACUUACCAACCCGAUGCAAACUGCGAAUACCGGAGAAUGUUAUCACGGGAGACACACGGCGGGUGCUAACGUCCGUCGUGAAGAGGGAAACAACCCAGACCGCCAGCUAAGGUCCCAAAGUCAUGGUUAAGUGGGAAACGAUGUGGGAAGGCCCAGACAGCCAGGAUGUUGGCUUAGAAGCAGCCAUCAUUUAAAGAAAGCGUAAUAGCUCACUGGUCGAGUCGGCCUGCGCGGAAGAUGUAACGGGGCUAAACCAUGCACCGAAGCUGCGGCAGCGACGCUUAUGCGUUGUUGGGUAGGGGAGCGUUCUGUAAGCCUGUGAAGGUGUGCUGUGAGGCAUGCUGGAGGUAUCAGAAGUGCGAAUGCUGACAUAAGUAACGAUAAAGCGGGUGAAAAGCCCGCUCGCCGGAAGACCAAGGGUUCCUGUCCAACGUUAAUCGGGGCAGGGUGAGUCGACCCCUAAGGCGAGGCCGAAAGGCGUAGUCGAUGGGAAACAGGUUAAUAUUCCUGUACUUGGUGUUACUGCGAAGGGGGGACGGAGAAGGCUAUGUUGGCCGGGCGACGGUUGUCCCGGUUUAAGCGUGUAGGCUGGUUUUCCAGGCAAAUCCGGAAAAUCAAGGCUGAGGCGUGAUGACGAGGCACUACGGUGCUGAAGCAACAAAUGCCCUGCUUCCAGGAAAAGCCUCUAAGCAUCAGGUAACAUCAAAUCGUACCCCAAACCGACACAGGUGGUCAGGUAGAGAAUACCAAGGCGCUUGAGAGAACUCGGGUGAAGGAACUAGGCAAAAUGGUGCCGUAACUUCGGGAGAAGGCACGCUGAUAUGUAGGUGAAGUCCCUCGCGGAUGGAGCUGAAAUCAGUCGAAGAUACCAGCUGGCUGCAACUGUUUAUUAAAAACACAGCACUGUGCAAACACGAAAGUGGACGUAUACGGUGUGACGCCUGCCCGGUGCCGGAAGGUUAAUUGAUGGGGUCAGCGCAAGCGAAGCUCUUGAUCGAAGCCCCGGUAAACGGCGGCCGUAACUAUAACGGUCCUAAGGUAGCGAAAUUCCUUGUCGGGUAAGUUCCGACCUGCACGAAUGGCGUAAUGAUGGCCAGGCUGUCUCCACCCGAGACUCAGUGAAAUUGAACUCGCUGUGAAGAUGCAGUGUACCCGCGGCAAGACGGAAAGACCCCGUGAACCUUUACUAUAGCUUGACACUGAACAUUGAGCCUUGAUGUGUAGGAUAGGUGGGAGGCUUAGAAGUGUGGACGCCAGUCUGCAUGGAGCCGACCUUGAAAUACCACCCUUUAAUGUUUGAUGUUCUAACGUUGACCCGUAAUCCGGGUUGCGGACAGUGUCUGGUGGGUAGUUUGACUGGGGCGGUCUCCUCCUAAAGAGUAACGGAGGAGCACGAAGGUUGGCUAAUCCUGGUCGGACAUCAGGAGGUUAGUGCAAUGGCAUAAGCCAGCUUGACUGCGAGCGUGACGGCGCGAGCAGGUGCGAAAGCAGGUCAUAGUGAUCCGGUGGUUCUGAAUGGAAGGGCCAUCGCUCAACGGAUAAAAGGUACUCCGGGGAUAACAGGCUGAUACCGCCCAAGAGUUCAUAUCGACGGCGGGGUUUGGCACCUCGAUGUCGGCUCAUCACAUCCUGGGGCUGAAGUAGGUCCCAAGGGUAUGGCUGUUCGCCAUUUAAAGUGGUACGCGAGCUGGGUUUAGAACGUCGUGAGACAGUUCGGUCCCUAUCUGCCGUGGGCGCUGGAGAACUGAGGGGGGCUGCUCCUAGUACGAGAGGACCGGAGUGGACGCAUCACUGGUGUUCGGGUUGUCAUGCCAAUGGCACUGCCCGGUAGCUAAAUGCGGAAGAGAUAAGUGCUGAAAGCAUCUAAGCACGAAACUUGCCCCGAGAUGAGUUCUCCCUGACUCCUUGAGAGUCCUGAAGGAACGUUGAAGACGACGACGUUGAUAGGCCGGGUGUGUAAGCGCAGCGAUGCGUUGAGCUAACCGGUACUAAUGAACCGUGAGGCUUAACC
RNAcentral lists this ribosomal RNA (2893 nucleotides) under human gut metagenome. RNAcentral's name for it is "bacterial LSU rRNA". It matches the Rfam family "Bacterial large subunit ribosomal RNA". The record is from RNAcentral.